Molecule: ribosomal RNA, 332 nt
Filed under: Mantidactylus katae
Lineage: Eukaryota; Metazoa; Chordata; Amphibia; Anura; Mantellidae
Description: partial 16S ribosomal RNA
Rfam family: Bacterial large subunit ribosomal RNA
Source: RNAcentral
UGUCUCCUUUUUCUAAUCAGUGAAACUAAUCUUCCCGUGAAGAAGCGGGAAUAUCCCCAUAAGACGAGAAGACCCCAUGGAGCUUCAAACCCAAUUACACCCCUAACCCCUAUAACUACUUAACCCUUAGGAUUCUGUAUUAUUGGUUUUAGGUUGGGGCGACCACGGAGUACAACAAAACCUCCACAAUGAACGGAACUACUUCCUCAUCUGAGAGCUACAUCUCUAAGAAUUAAAAUAUUAACAUAAAAUGAUCCAUUUUUGAUCAAUGAACCAAGUUACCCUGGGGAUAACAGCGCAAUCCAUUUCAAGAGCCCCUAUCGACAAAUGGG